This 376-nucleotide ribosomal RNA is filed under the name uncultured bacterium. RNAcentral describes it as "bacterial SSU rRNA". It matches the Rfam family "Bacterial small subunit ribosomal RNA", at positions 524 to 898 of the family's 1533-position model. The record is from RNAcentral.
CACGUAGGAGGCAAACGUUAUCCGGAUUUACUGGGCGUAAAGCGCGUGUAGGUGGUUCUGUAAGUAGGGCGUGAAAGCUCCCGGCUCAACUGGGAGAGGCCGUUCUAAACUGCAGAACUAGAGGAUGGUAGAGGGAGGUGGAAUUCCAGGUGUAGCGGUGGAAUGCGCAGAUAUCUGGAGGAACACCAGUGGCGAAAGCGGCCUCCUGGACCAUUCCUGACACUCAGACGCGAAAGCUAGGGUAGCAAACGGGAUUAGAGACCCCGGUAGUCCUAGCCCUAAACGAUGUAGACUAGACGUCGGUGGUGUAAUAGCUGUCGGUGUCCAAGCUAACGCGAUAAGUCUACCGCCUGGGGACUACGGCCGCAAGGUUAAA